This 333-nucleotide long non-coding RNA is filed under the name Bos indicus x Bos taurus (hybrid cattle). RNAcentral describes it as "lncRNA (ENSBIXG00005021428.1)". Lineage: Eukaryota; Metazoa; Chordata; Mammalia; Artiodactyla; Bovidae. The record is from RNAcentral.
UUGGGAGUGAUUUAGUAAAUGCAGCCAUCAAGAAUGUGGUGAUGUUUGCUCUCUGGUUUUGCAUAGGCGGAUUUUGAAGAAGUCUCCCUCCCCCGACUCCCUGUAAUUUAUAAGAAAAUGGAAGAAGUAGCCUAACCUAAUGCUGGUCAUCUAUAAUUGAGGACAAAUUAGCAAGAGUCCAGAGGCUGAGCAUGGCUUUGAUCAGGGUGUCCAGCCUUUCUCAGUGCAAACCAUUCUGUGGAGAAAGGAGGAGUAGCUGAUUAAUCCCAUGUCAGCAGUCUUGACCCUACGUGGAAAAUAGAACCUUAGACGGCCCACUCCAUAAUAUAUCAG